GGUUGUGGCUCAGUGGCAGAGCACUUGCCUCGCACAUGUGUGGCACUGGGUUCAAUCCUCAGCACCA
Molecule: transfer RNA, 67 nt
Filed under: Marmota monax (woodchuck)
Lineage: Eukaryota; Metazoa; Chordata; Mammalia; Rodentia; Sciuridae
Description: tRNA.Ala
Source: RNAcentral